UUGGAUGAUCAUACAUGAGAAUGUAAACUAAAAAGUAAAAACCAAACGGCCACACAAUGUAUUCUUUUACUUUCUUCAGUUUUGUUGUUCGUAAGAGAAGAAGAAUCAAAAGAAGAGAGAAAGAAUAAGCUUCUUGUGCUGUUGUUGAGGUUCUAAAGCUUGGAUUUGCCACUGCGAGGAGGGUCCUUUGCCCAGAGAGGAGGGAUGAUUCUAUGGUCUUGCUGCACAGGCUGCUGCUGCUCUUCCUUUCUCUCGGUCUCUUUCUCGUCCUCUAGAACCUCUUUAGAGAAUGCGUUUGGGUUGGCUUUGACACAUUUUUGCAAGGCCACGAAUGGAUGCACACAGUCUGAUCCCUGCAACAAACAAAUGUUUUGUCAGCACUUGGUUCCAUCAGCCUAAACAAUCUAGUAGCAAGGUUUACCUUUUCUUCAGCAGUGCUGAUGAGAAAGCAACGGAACGCUUCAGUGAACUGAGACCCGCAAGAUCCAUUGCGGAGAUCAGCUAUGCAAGGACAAUCGAGAGCUUUCUGUGCCUUGGCUUCAAGCGACUGAUGGGAAUUGGUGCUUUGUCAGAAAAAACUCAGAAAAGAGCUUGCGAAUAAACAGAGUAAGAGAGAGUAGGAGGAUUAACCUCGUUCUCAUUGUCACCUUCACCAAAUGCUGCAGCUUCUGUAAUAUUAAUGGAGAGGACAAGGAUGUCAAAUAUCACUCAGAGAAGAACACAAAAACUACAAAGAGCUUAUAAAUGGUACUCAGAGAGCUUAUAAAUGGUACUCAGAGAGCUAAAACAAGAACAGAAACUGAGAAUAAGGCAAUUUCAAUGGUAAUCAAAAGCAUAGACUAAAACAAUUCACAAAAAUAAUUGACUUUUCAGCUAAUAUAUAGACAUUCAUUUCGAUGGAGAUAUAGAAAGCCGAACCUGCAAGGAGAGACCCCAUCGAAGUAUCAUCGCCAUCAGAAUCCCGCGGCGGAUUCGUGGAAGGAGGAGGAGUAUUACUCGUCGGCGUUGUGGAUGAGGCAGAGUUGUCGUUACUCUGAGCUUGACCCAUCUCUCCCUUUCUCCUCCGUCUGAGCAAAAACCUCCCAAGUUAGCCGCCGACGAGAAUCAGAUCCCGCAAAAAUGAAAUGGAAUCUAUACAUGGCCCAGAUUAUCAUUAUAUGGGCUUUAUGAUCUAUUGGGCUUGAGUUCGAAAGCUCUGCUCUUUUGUUUCUGUGGUAACUUUUUGGUUCUUGGUGGGCAGAAGAAAGAAAGAUUCAAUUUCUCUUGUUAAUUUUCCAAAGGGCCCCCCGAAAAAAGAGAGAAAAGUUCAAUUUCAUCAACAAGAAACAACUGCGAAACAGAAGUACAAUGAUUCUAAAUCUUUGCUUAGGCUGUCAAACGAGCAUGAAGUAGGGUCAAGACACUUUUUAAUAUAAAACCCAGAAACACACCAAUUUGAUUUCUUUUUUUUUUGUUGUUGUCAACCCUUUCGGCUUAUUAACGAGUAACGACUCCCACUAUGGUCGAUUCUAGCUGUCAAAGUCCAUACACUUUACUCUGCGUUUCAAAAUUCCGAACACCUUUUGUUGUUUAUCACGAUUCACGGGGGCUUCUAGCGUAAAACUAAUCGGUGAUCAGUGGAUUGAUUCUAACUCUUUAUAUAUUACUUAAGUUCCUUUAGAAUUUUCGAUGUGAGAUAUAUAUCCCUAAUAAUCCUCCUCGAGAUAAUGGUUUUUAUCGGUCAGAAAUCUCGGAACUUUAGGAUAUUUAUACUCGGUUGAGCGAGUUUAAUACGAUCUUUAUAUCUGAUCGGAAUGGUUAAUAUUAAUUAGGAGUUUAGGGUAUUUAGGAAUCUGGCUUUGAUAUCCUGUUAGAUUCGGGUUUGUUAUGAGUUUCCAACUUAAAAUCAAUUGGUGAUGAAUUGAUCAUAACUCUUUAUAUAUUACUUAAGGUCCAUUAUAAUUCUCUAUGUGAGAUAUAUAUCCCUAAUACCUUUCUGAACGUUAAUUAUUUUGGGUUAGUACGAAAUGUUUAUCCAUUUUAUAAGACGAAACAUUUUUCAAUUCAAAUAAUAUUAUUUUAACCAUUUUUAUUAAUUAAGAAAAAGUUUCUUUAAUUUUUUUCAAAAUCUGAAACCAACCGUUACUAAUAAAUAACUAGUAUGAUAUAACGUAAAUUAUUCCUCCCAACUAAAAUUGAAUUAGACGCACAACAAAACUAUUUUUUGCGCCGAAACCACUAUCCCAGUACACCAUUUAUAUAACUUUAACCAUUUCAUUAUGUGGAAUUGAAUGAUUUAGAGAACUUGGAACCGGUUUCCUAAACCCGGUUUAUCAACUCCUAAUCAGAGCGAACCGUUCCUAGUUACGUCCAUGCAGUAUGUAAAACAGUGGGCGUCCACCACAUUUGAGGCUCAUACUGUCGUACUUACAUGUUGUGUUGUUGAUUACGAUGUCUAUGCGGCAGGUUAUGAAUAGUUUUUCUUUUCAAAUUAAUCACAACAAAUUAUUUUAAUGUGUGAAAGAAUAAGCUUCUUGUGCUGUUGUUGAGGUUCUAAAGCUUGGAUUUGCCACUGCGAGGAGGGUCCUUUGCCCAGAGAGGAGGGAUGAUUCUAUGGUCUUGCUGCACAGGCUGCUGCUGCUCUUCCUUUCUCUCGGUCUCUUUCUCGUCCUCUAGAACCUCUUUAGAGAAUGCGUUU
RNAcentral lists this long non-coding RNA (2677 nucleotides) under Brassica napus (rape). Its description in RNAcentral is "long non-coding RNA (BNAP_LNC021924)". Lineage: Eukaryota; Viridiplantae; Streptophyta; Magnoliopsida; Brassicales; Brassicaceae. The record is from RNAcentral.